UGAGACAACCAGAGCUGAAAGAAAAGA
RNAcentral lists this non-coding RNA (27 nucleotides) under Mus musculus (house mouse). The record is from RNAcentral. Lineage: Eukaryota; Metazoa; Chordata; Mammalia; Rodentia; Muridae.